AGCCACAAAUGAUGGAACUCAGUUCCUCUAAGAAAAGAAAAUCAGUCCAUUUUUCAUCUCAUUCUUUUCCUCAAGUUUCUGGGAGGUGGAAGCCAAGCUAAUUAAAAUGUUCUGCCGCACAAAAAUGGCUGUAGCUCCAGUCCAGAACUCACUCCAACUUUACCCUGUCGACAUCGGUCAUCACGCCUUCAAGCUGUACGAGAACAGGCAUCAGCAUGCAAACUACAGGAAAGUAACGGGUUCCAAAACUUCAAUUCAUGAUCCACCACAAAUAUCCAAGACAGUGAAAUGUAGACUGCAGUAAUAUCGGUCUGUCCUACACAGCAUAAAAAAGCAAGCAUAUUCCUGGUGAGCAUACUUGCACGCCACAUGAGGCUGCGACCACCUUGAACUCAUUUUCACUCAAUUUGGCUAUGCUCAAUUCAUACUCAACAAUAAACAACCUCAAUCAGAUUUUCUAAACAAAGUUCAGGACCAUGGGGCUAGGAUGGAAUCAGUGAGCAAAUUUGAGUUGAACUGUCAAGCUUAACAGCUAUACAAUCAUAACAAGCUCAGGCUUAUAACAUCAACUAGAAUUUAUACGAUCAUAACAAGCUCAGGCCUAUAACAUCAACUAGACUUUCUGUAUAGAUGCACGAACAGAACAUGUUGUGCCUGCAAGGCUUGACCUCCAAAAUGGCAAGUUGAACCCUAAUAACUGCCAAAGCUCAGGAUGCCUAUAGGCUUCAGAUUGUGUCAGUGCCCACAAGACACUGACCAAAUUUGCUACUAAACAAGCUUACCCACUAUACUAUUUAAUUCGUUCAAAA
Coffea arabica (coffee) is the source of this 809-nucleotide non-coding RNA. Lineage: Eukaryota; Viridiplantae; Streptophyta; Magnoliopsida; Gentianales; Rubiaceae. The record is from RefSeq and is a predicted model, not a curated record.